UGAGAGUUAGAAAUUCAAAUUUGUUAUCCUGCUGAAAGAAAAUCUUGUGUUGAUCAUUUUUGAUUUUUGCCUUCAUGAGGGUAAAGUCAUGAUGGACUGACAUGGACAAUU
This is a small nucleolar RNA of Artibeus jamaicensis (Jamaican fruit-eating bat), 111 nucleotides long. RefSeq annotates it as small nucleolar RNA SNORA69. Lineage: Eukaryota; Metazoa; Chordata; Mammalia; Chiroptera; Phyllostomidae. The transcript has a single exon. The record is from RefSeq and is a predicted model, not a curated record.